Carya illinoinensis is the source of this 787-nucleotide long non-coding RNA. RefSeq lists it as uncharacterized. The record is from RefSeq and is a predicted model, not a curated record. Lineage: Eukaryota; Viridiplantae; Streptophyta; Magnoliopsida; Fagales; Juglandaceae. The transcript is spliced from 2 exons.
AGAAAAAGAAGAAGAAGAAGCAGAAAGCUCCAACGGGAAUCCCCAUCAUUUUCCAUCUAAAAAUGCUCCCAGUCUGGCUUUUGCUUUGCAGUAAUGGACGAUAACGUGGUGGUCGAACCACCCUUUUCCUCCCAAGUUCCCAAACCUUUUUUGGGUUUUCAUCUUAACCGUUGGAUGGCUUUCUUAGUCAGUAAUGGGGACCAGCCAACGUCUAGAACCGAAACAGGACUCCCUUCAUGCGAAACUCGUGGCUUGUCUUAUGCAGUCAUCUUGAUUCGGAAAUGGAAUCUUCAUUUGGUCAAAUCAAAUUCCUAAUGCAAUCACAAAUCAAUGCAGAAUAAUUAAUUAUCCCGGAAAUUGAAAAGUUAAAGCCUUUUGGCUUCGACCCAUCUUUGUUUAGCCGACCCCUAGUGCAUUCACGUGACUGCGCAACAUACCAUAGUCUAUCCUUCUCCACUCAGCGUUUCAGAGCCUCAGAGAGAGAGAGAGAGAGAGAUGGAACCCCCACCAUCCCAAGCCAUUGAGACUUCUGGAAAGGCCCUUGAGUUCCAGGUUGAACAGGAUGAACAAGACAAGGCCAUCGAUAGUUGCUGUUCUUGCUGCUAUGACUGCUCAGAGAGCUGUUUCUUCGAUUAUUUGUUCUGUAACCUCUGUUGAGGGAGUCUUACAAUUUACUCAAGCCAUGAAAAAGAUCGAAAUGGGUCUUCUUGGCAUCAUUAAUCAGGGUGUUGAAACUGCUGUUUGUUAUAUAUAUUGAUGAGUGAAUCAUGGUAAUUUGCAAUAUUAA